This 137-nucleotide small nucleolar RNA is filed under the name Chlamydomonas reinhardtii. RNAcentral's name for it is "CrACA40b snoRNA". Lineage: Eukaryota; Viridiplantae; Chlorophyta; Chlorophyceae; Chlamydomonadales; Chlamydomonadaceae. The record is from RNAcentral.
CGGCUGACACUCACCACGGCGCAGUCACUAGAGUGCUGCGCUGCGGUCUUUCUUCAGCUGAUAGCAUCGAGCUUCUUUAAAGGCAGGGCCGCGGCCAGCGUGGGUGGCCGCAGCACCGUUCCAAUAGCGCAACAGCC